UACGGAGGGUGCAAGCGUUGUUCGGAUUUAUUGGGCGUAAAGCGCGUGUAGGCGGUCUUCUAAGUCUGAUGUGAAAACUCGGGGCUUAACCCCGGGCCUGCAGUGGGUACGGGCAGACUAGAGUGCGGUAGGGGAGACUGGAAUUCCUGGUGUAGCGGUGAAAUGCGCAGAUAUCAGGAGGAACACCGGUGGCGAAGGCGGGUCUCUGGGCCGUAACUGACGCUGAGGAGCGAAAGCGUGGGGAGCGAACAGG
RNAcentral lists this ribosomal RNA (253 nucleotides) under uncultured bacterium. RNAcentral describes it as "partial 16S ribosomal RNA". It matches the Rfam family "Bacterial small subunit ribosomal RNA", at positions 524 to 776 of the family's 1533-position model. The record is from RNAcentral.